Molecule: ribosomal RNA, 301 nt
Filed under: uncultured bacterium
Lineage: Bacteria
Description: partial 16S ribosomal RNA
Rfam family: Bacterial small subunit ribosomal RNA
Source: RNAcentral
CAGUAGCCGCGGGAAUACAGAGGGUGCAAGCGUUAAUCGGAAUUACUGGGCGUAAAGCGCGCGUAGGUGGUUUGUUAAGUUGGAUGUGAAAUCCCCGGGCUCAACCUGGGAACUGCAUUUGAAACUGUCAGGCUGGAGUCUUGUAGAGGGGGGUAGAAUUCCAGGUGUAGCGGUGAAAUGCGUAGAGAUCUGGAGGAAUACCGGUGGCGAAGGCGGCCCCCUGGACAAAGGCUGACGCUCAGGUGCGAAAGCGUGGGGAGCAAACAGGAUUAGAUACCCCAGUAGUCCCUGUCUCUUAUAC